Molecule: ribosomal RNA, 119 nt
Filed under: Pteropus alecto (black flying fox)
Lineage: Eukaryota; Metazoa; Chordata; Mammalia; Chiroptera; Pteropodidae
Source: RNAcentral
GUCUAUGGCCAUGCCACCCUGAACAUGCCCAAUCCCGUCUGGUCUCGGAAGCUAAGCAGAGUCGAGCCAGGUUAUUACUUGGAUGGGAGACCACCUAGGAAGGCCAAAUGUCAUAGGCA